Molecule: transfer RNA, 64 nt
Filed under: Omorgus chinensis
Lineage: Eukaryota; Metazoa; Arthropoda; Insecta; Coleoptera; Trogidae
Also listed under: 1 other name
Description: tRNA-Leu
Source: RNAcentral
UCUAAUAUGGCAGAUUAGUGCAAUGGAUUUAAGUCCCAUAUAUAAAGUUGACCUUUUUUUAGAU